This 252-nucleotide ribosomal RNA is filed under the name uncultured bacterium. RNAcentral describes it as "partial 16S ribosomal RNA". It matches the Rfam family "Bacterial small subunit ribosomal RNA", at positions 524 to 776 of the family's 1533-position model. The record is from RNAcentral.
UACGUAGGUCCCGAGCGUUGUCCGGAUUUAUUGGGCGUAAAGCGAGCGCAGGUGGUUUAUUAAGUCUGGUGUAAAAGGCAGUGGCUCAACCGUUGUAUGCAUUGGAAACUGGUAGACUUGAGUGCAGGAGAGGAGAGUGGAAUUCCAUGUGUAGCGGUGAAAUGCGUAGAUAUAUGGAGGAACACCGGUGGCGAAAGCGGCUCUCUGGCCUGUAACUGACACUGAGGCUCGAAAGCGUGGGGAACAAACAGG